This 313-nucleotide unclassified non-coding RNA is filed under the name plant metagenome. RNAcentral describes it as "partial contains 5.8S ribosomal RNA, internal transcribed spacer 2, and large subunit ribosomal RNA". The stretch from base 1 to 105 matches the Rfam family "5.8S ribosomal RNA", at positions 50 to 154 of the family's 154-position model. The record is from RNAcentral.
GAAACGCGAUAGUUAAUGUGAAUUGCAGAAUUCAGUGAAUCAUCGAGUCUUUGAACGCACAUUGCGCCCAAUGGUAUUCCAUUGGGCAUGUCUGUUUGAGCGUCAGUACCCCCUCAGUGCAAACUGGUGUUGAACCCGUCUUUUGAAAAAGGACCGGUUUUAAAGUGGUAAGCUCUGCUGACCGCUAAGCUCCAACCAAAAACAUAGUAAAAUCUUGCUUGUUUAAAGGUGAAGCUGGCGUGCCGGCCUGAAAAAAAACCUAUUUUCUAAGAUUUGACCUCAGAUCAGACAAGGAUACCCGCUGAACUUAAGC